RNAcentral lists this ribosomal RNA (490 nucleotides) under Ochyrocera sp. SP50. RNAcentral's name for it is "eukaryotic LSU rRNA". It matches the Rfam family "Eukaryotic large subunit ribosomal RNA", at positions 664 to 1113 of the family's 3401-position model. Lineage: Eukaryota; Metazoa; Arthropoda; Arachnida; Araneae; Ochyroceratidae. The record is from RNAcentral.
GACCAAGGAGUCUAACACGUGCGCGAGUCACGGGGUCUUGUUCAGGCCCAGAGGCGCAAUGAAAGUGAAACGCCCGCUUCGCGCGGUGCGGUGUCGGGACUCGCCCUCCCUCGGGAGGCCGCGAAGCACCGACGACCCGUCCCGUCCGACUCGUCGGUGGGGCGGAGUCCGAGCGUACGCGUUGGGACCCGAAAGAUGGUGAACUAUGCCUGGGCAGGACGAAGCCAGAGGAAACUCUGGUGGAGGUCCGUAGCGGUUCUGACGUGCAAAUCGAUCGUCAGACCCGGGUAUAGGGGCGAAAGACUAAUCGAACCUUCUAGUAGCUGGUUCCCUCCGAAGUUUCCCUCAGGAUAGCUGGCGCUCGGAGGAAUCAGUCUCAUCCGGUAAAGCGAAUGAUUAGAGGCCUUGGGGCCGAAACGACCUCAACCUAUUCUCAAACUUUAAAUGGGUGAGAAGUCCGGCUUGCAUGACCGAAGCUCGGACGUUGUUG